CCUACGGGUGACAGCAGUAGGGAAUCUUCCACAAUGGGCGAAAGCCUGAUGGAGCAACGCCGCGUGGGUGAAGAAGGUCUUCGGAUCGUAAAACCCUGUUGUUAGAGAAGAAAGGGCGUGAGAGUAACUGUUUACGUUUCGACGGUAUCUAACCAGAAAGACACGGCUAACUACGUGACAGCAGCCGCGGUAAUACGUAGGUGGCAAGCGUGAGCCGGAUUUAUUGGGCGUAAAGGGAACGCAGGCGGUCUUUUAGGUCUGAUGUGAAAGCCUUCGGCUUAACCGGAGUAGUGCAUUGGAAACUGGGAGACUUGAGUGCAGAAGCGGAGAGUGGAACUCCAUGUGUAGCGGUGAAAUGCGUAGAUAUAUGGAAGAACACCAGUGGCGAAAGCGGCUCUCUGGUCUGUAACUGACGCUGAGGUUCGAAAGCGUGGGUAGCAAACAGGAUUAGAUACCCCGGUAGUC
Molecule: ribosomal RNA, 465 nt
Filed under: uncultured bacterium
Lineage: Bacteria
Description: partial 16S ribosomal RNA
Rfam family: Bacterial small subunit ribosomal RNA
Source: RNAcentral